Molecule: ribosomal RNA, 641 nt
Filed under: uncultured archaeon
Lineage: Archaea
Description: bacterial SSU rRNA
Rfam family: Archaeal small subunit ribosomal RNA
Source: RNAcentral
UUCCGGUUGAUCCUGCCGGAGGUUACUGCUAUCGGUGUUCGACUAAGCCAUGCAAGUCAUAUGUUCCUCGUGAACAUGGCAUACUGCUCAGUAACACGUGGAUAACCUGCCCUUGGGUCUGGGAUAACCCCGGGAAACUGGGGAUAAUAUCGGAUAACGCAUAUGUGCUGGAAUGCUUUAUGCGUAAAACGGAUUCGUCCGCCCAAGGAUGGGUCUGCGGCCUAUCAGGUAGUAGUGGGUGUAAUGUACCUACUAGCCAACAACGGGUACGGGUUGUGAGAGCAAGAGCCCGGAGAUGGAUUCUGAGACAUGAAUCCAGGCCCUACGGGGCGCAGCAGGCGCGAAAACUUUACAAUGCGGGAAACCGUGAUAAGGGAACACCGAGUGCCAGCAUCAUAUGCUGGCUGUCCAGAUGUGUAAACUACAUCUGUUAGCAAGGGCCGGGCAAGACCGGUGCCAGCCGCCGCGGUAACACCGGCGGCCCGAGUGGUGACCGUUAUUAUUGGGUCUAAAGGGUCCGUAGCCGGUUUGGUCAGUCCUCCGGGAAAUCUGAUAGCUUAACUGUUAGGCUUUCGGGGGAUACUGCCAGGCUUGGAACCGGGAGAGGUAAGAGGUACUACAGGGGUAGGAAUGAAAUCUUG